GCCCCGCUCGCACCCGCCAACCAACGGCGCGCCGAGGUCGGCUCCUAUGCAAAUCUGCAGAGGCUUCAGCAUUCAUUGAGAAAAGCACAGAGCACGCCCCGCCCUUCCUCUAUGCCUCUCCCCUCUCUCCUUCCUUCCCCUCCUCCAGAUUCCCUGCCCUAUUUCUCUGCUGUGUGAACAGGAGCCUGUUUUGGAUAAAUGUGAGGACCGGAAGAGGCCUUUGUAAUCAACCACUCUUUCUAACUAUGCACUUAAGAGAUUAAACAGAUUACAAAUGGAAUGGCUCAGUGAGGGUAACUUCCCAACAAGAAGACUACACAGGUGACAAGAUCUGUUACAUGAUUUGGACCUGGAUAUCUGACUAAGAAGUCCAUGCUCUCAAACCCUGGAGAACCUCAUAAGACAGAAAAUGGAGGGGAUGGAAUAGGCUGAGAUGGACAGAGGUGAACAGAGGAAGAAACCGAAAGCCUGACUCAAAAAGAGACAGACAGAGGAUGGGAAUGGCAGGGAGAACAGACAGGAGAUACUGGGAGCCCCGAGGAGACAGUUAAUGAGGUGAGCUGCUCCAGGUCACCUUGCCAAUGACUUCGGCAGUUAAGUUGAGGAGGGAGGAAAGUGAAAAGACCAGGUACCAAGAGAGGAAAGGGCCAAGCUGGACACUGAGAGUAGCAAGACCCUCCUCAGGAAAUUCCCCACUUCUGGAAAUGGAGAUGUGGACAACUCAGUUAAGGAGAGGUUUGAAUUCUCUAUAAGGGAAGCAGUAAUAAAGACAGCAUUUCAAAUCCAAGAAGUAAUGACUUAAGGCAAAACACACCUCAGAACUGCAAAAUCUGACUGAGACCUACAGGGUUAAUUAAGUCAGGCAUUCAGCUGGUCAAGAAAAAGGAGGAGGAGGAGGAGGAAAGAGAGAGAAAGAGGGAAAGAGGAAGAGGAGCAGGAGGAAGAGGAAGGAGAAGGAGGAAGAGAAAAAUCAGUAAAGUCAAGCUGAAGCAAGGCAAGAGAAGAUACUUACUGCUACGACAUUGGAAACCCAUAACCAGUGUAGCUUACACUGGGCCAAGAGCAGGAAUUGGG
RNAcentral lists this long non-coding RNA (1074 nucleotides) under Equus asinus (donkey). RNAcentral describes it as "lncRNA (ENSEASG00005036849.1)". Lineage: Eukaryota; Metazoa; Chordata; Mammalia; Perissodactyla; Equidae. The record is from RNAcentral.